AUUAAUUUUGUCCCUUGAAAUGUAAGAGUGAUCUGAAAUGCCUAAGAGAAUAUUGGAGAAGGUUCAUCUGAGUGUGGAUCCAUUUGCUUGGUAUCAUUUUUUCAAAACUGUGAUUUGUGGAUUGCACUGUCAAGGUUAACGUAUGAGGGCUGAGCUUACUCUGCUCGUGGAGGUGCCCUGCUGCAAGACCACAAUGAAGGGUUGUGCAGCACACGGAGCACAUUACAGUGAAAACCCACCUGUUGAAAUAGUAGAGAUCAUGCCAUUUUUUACAUGUGCACAGUAAAAAAAAAAUGGAAAGAUGGGCUGUCUGAGGCUUUCCAAAGCCAAGGAUUGUUGAAAUCUUGAUGGAAGAACACACUCCUUCACUUCUAUGCUUCUGAAAUACAAAAUAUCCGUUAAAAGUGAUAGACUUGAAGCCAAGGCAAACAAAUUCAUAAGCUAAACUUGAACACUUUUACUUGCAAAUACUGAUCUUGCGAUGACAGAUUCAUUUUUCCAGCUCUGGCAAAUUUGUUUCUAUUGUACCCUUGCUGGAAAUUACCCUGCAAGUGUUUAUAAACCUGGCGUACCGUGAAGGACUCCAUGUAGGACACAUUAUUCAGAUGAAAGGAGAACCUCAAGGCUAUCAGCCAGCCAGGGCAUCUCCCAGACUUAUUUGCCACCAGUUAGAAAGCUGCCCUGCAUACAGUUGUGACGGAGAGGAGGGAGGUGAUGCACUACCACUGCUGGAGAAGCACGGUGUGCAUCACCCGCGUCACCAGCAGCUCCACAGCUGUGCGGCUCCUGCCUGUACUGCCGUCCCCACCGCCCCACACGUGAGGGCUGGUACAAGGGUUGGACGCUCGCGGUGGAUUGAAGAAAGACCUUGUAUUCAUGCCUUUUUUCCACCACAGGCACCCUGUCCUGUAACUCCGAACCUCAGUUUCCUAUCAUUAGGUGCGGUGGGAAAAAGGGCUAUUUAAAUACCAGCGAAGACUGGAUUCAGGAUGCGGACAAGGUUUACUCAGCAUCAGAGCCUGCCUCAGUGCUUCUUACUGGUAC
Molecule: long non-coding RNA, 1044 nt
Organism: Grus americana (Whooping crane)
Lineage: Eukaryota; Metazoa; Chordata; Aves; Gruiformes; Gruidae
Exons: 4
Source: RefSeq, a predicted model, not a curated record